GUAACCCUUUUCCAGGG
RNAcentral lists this unclassified non-coding RNA (17 nucleotides) under Mus musculus (house mouse). RNAcentral's name for it is "oocyte_clustered_small_RNA11716". Lineage: Eukaryota; Metazoa; Chordata; Mammalia; Rodentia; Muridae. The record is from RNAcentral.